GACGAACGCUGGCGGCGUGCUUAACACAUGCAAGUCGAACGGAAAGGCCCUGCUUUUGUUGGGUGCUCGAGUGGCGAACGGGUGAGUAACACGUGAGUAACCUGCCCUUGUCUUUGGGAUAACUUCAGGUAACUGGGGCUCAUACCGGAUAGGAGCUCCUGCUGCUUGGUGGGGGUUGGAUCGUUUCGGCGGUUGGGGAUGGACUCGCGGCUUAUCAGCUUGUUGGUGGGGUAGUGGCUUACCAAGGCUUUGACGGGUAGCCGGCCUGAGAGGGUGACCGGCCAAAUUGGGACUGAGAUACGGCCCAGACGCCAACGGGAGGAAGCAGGGGGGAAUAUGGCACAAGGGGGGGAAGCCGGAGGCAGCAAGGCCGCGGGCGGAAUGACGGCCUUCGGGUGGUAAACCGCUUUAGCAUGGGACGAAGCGUGAGUGACGGUAAUGGGUAAAGAAGCACCGGCUAACUACGUG
Molecule: ribosomal RNA, 468 nt
Filed under: uncultured bacterium
Lineage: Bacteria
Description: partial 16S ribosomal RNA
Rfam family: Bacterial small subunit ribosomal RNA
Source: RNAcentral